Molecule: ribosomal RNA, 836 nt
Filed under: uncultured bacterium
Lineage: Bacteria
Description: bacterial SSU rRNA
Rfam family: Bacterial small subunit ribosomal RNA
Source: RNAcentral
CAUGCAAGUCGAGCGAAGCACUUUGCUUAGAUUCUUCGGAUGAAGAGGAUUGUGACUGAGCGGCGGACGGGUGAGUAACGCGUGGGUAACCUGCCUCAUACAGGGGGAUAACAGUUAGAAAUGACUGCUAAUACCGCAUAAGACCACAGUACCGCACGGUGCGGGGGUAAAAACUCCGGUGGUAUGAGAUGGACCCGCGUCUGAUUAGCUAGUUGGUAAGGUAACGGCUUACCAAGGCGACGAUCAGUAGCCGACCUGAGAGGGUGACCGGCCACAUUGGGACUGAGACACGGCCCAAACUCCUACGGGAGGCAGCAGUGGGGAAUAUUGCACAAUGGGGGAAACCCUGAUGCAGCGACGCCGCGUGAGCGAAGAAGUAUUUCGGUAUGUAAAGCUCUAUCAGCAGGGAAGAAAAUGACGGUACCUGACUAAGAAGCACCGGCUAAAUACGUGCCAGCAGCCGCGGUAAUACGUAUGGUGCAAGCGUUAUCCGGAUUUACUGGGUGUAAAGGGAGCGUAGACGGAUGGGCAAGUCUGAUGUGAAAACCCGGGGCUCAACCCCGGGACUGCAUUGGAAACUGUUAAUCUAGAGUGCUGGAGAGGUAAGUGGAAUUCCUAGUGUAGCGGUGAAAUGCGUAGAUAUUAGGAGGAACACCAGUGGCGAAGGCGGCUUACUGGACAGUAACUGACGUUGAGGCUCGAAAGCGUGGGGAGCAAACAGGAUUAGAUACCCUGGUAGUCCACGCCGUAAACGAUGACUACUAGGUGUCGGGUGGCAAAGCCAUUCGGUGCCGCAGCAAACGCAAUAAGUAGUCCACCUGGGGAGUACGUUCGCA